RNAcentral lists this small RNA (117 nucleotides) under Marmota monax (woodchuck). The record is from RNAcentral. Lineage: Eukaryota; Metazoa; Chordata; Mammalia; Rodentia; Sciuridae.
GCUGGGCCUGGUGGCACCUGCUUGUAAUCCCACCUAUGCAGGAGGCUGAGGCAGGAGGAUUUCUUAAGCUUUGGAGUUCGGAGCCAGCCAAUGCAACAUAAUGUAAUCCUGCCUCUA